UCAAAAACGUCUUUGUUUUAAAAGUUUUAUCAAAUUUUAAAGAAAAGUGAUUACUUCCAAAAGUGAACAGUGAGUUAUUUUUAUAUUUUCUUCCAAGUUAGUUAAAUUAUGUAGAUUUGUGACUAUGUUCAGUGAAUUUAAAAUGAGAAAAAAGAGAGACUUAACAAGAUGAAAAAGGGGUGACAAAUUGAGUGCACACGCCCCUGGGAGGAGUUGACGUCAUUGGCGCAUGCGCACGGUCAGAAAACGGCACUGCAGAAGCAGGCGAGUUCGCGAGUGUAUCGAUUUUACGAUCGUGUCUCGCGGUUAGUGCGUUCGUUUCCUUUAGUUUUUAGUGACCGUGUUCGUGGUACAUGGAUAAAAAUUGUGAAUGGGAUUAAUCAUUAAGUGCUCCGCUUCGUACACCUGCUGAUUCGCAACUCCUCCAGCUCAUCAUGACCAAGGAUAGAUUAGCAGCCCUCGUCGCGGCUCAGUCCGACGAGGACGAUGUGGCCGACGAUGUCUCGGUCCCCGUGGGAGGGCCCGAAGAUUUCAUGACGGAAUUUUUCGCCGAGGUGGAGGAGAUACGUGAAAUGAUCGAUAAGAUCCAGACAAAUGUGGAGGAAGUGAAGAAGAAGCAUAGCGCCAUUUUAUCAGCACCCCAGACAGAUGAAAAGGUCAAAAUGGAACUGGAAGAUCUGAUGGCUGACAUUAAGAAAACAGCGAAUAAAGUUAGGGCAAAGUUAAAAGUAAUAGAGCAAAACAUCGAGCAAGAGGAGCACACGAACAAAUCGUCGGCAGAUCUUAGGAUACGCAAGACACAACACUCGACGUUGUCUAGGAAAUUCGUCGAGGUGAUGACAGAGUACAAUCGGACGCAGACUGAUUAUAGGGAGCGGUGUAAGGGGAGAAUACAACGACAACUUGAAAUUACGGGUAGGACGACCACUAAUGAAGAACUCGAGGAAAUGCUGGAACAAGGAAAUCCAGCUGUGUUCACGCAAGGGAUUAUUAUGGAAACGCAACAAGCGAAACAAACCCUUGCAGAUAUUGAGGCGCGUCACGCUGACAUCAUUAAAUUAGAAAAUUCCAUCAGGGAACUUCACGACAUGUUCAUGGACAUGGCAAUGCUCGUCGAAAGUCAGGGUGAGAUGAUAGAUCGCAUAGAAUAUCACGUGGAACACGCAGUGGAUUACGUUCAAACGGCCACACAGGACACCAAAAAAGCACUCAAGUAUCAAAGCAAAGCCCGACGGAAAAUGAUCAUGAUUAUGAUCUGCGUCGCAGUAUCUCUGGUCAUAUUGAUCUCCAUUGUAGGAGCGUUUCUUCCGUCAUUCUAAAUGGCCGUAGACAUAGAGAGACAGGGAGAGAAAAAAAUAAGAGAGAGAGAGAGAGAGAGAGAGCAAUAGAUAGAUAGACAAAUAGUUAGAUAGCUAGACAUGAGGGGAGAACAGAAAAAUAAAAAAUAAAAAAAAUUACUUAUACAUAUACAAAAUAUAAAUAAUAAAAAAAUAUUACACUCCGACAAAAAAAAAAAAAAAAAAAAAACAACUCAGAAAGUAGCAAAUAUCGUUGCAGCGAACAAAAAAAAAUGAGAAAGCACUUCUGAUUGGUGAUACAAAACAAAAAUCCGGAGGAUGACGAAAAAGGAAAUAAAUUACACACUUUUUUCUAAAAACAAAAAAAAAGAAAAACAAUAAAUAGCGAAAAAAUGGAUGUGACGACGACUCUUCUCGUAUAAAAAAAAAAAAAAAUUGAGCGCGAAACGAGUCGACGCGUGGACUGAACCGUCACAAAAUUCUUGUACAGGACAUGAAAAAAAAAUAACAAGACUUUUUUAUAGUUAUGCCAACAAUAAUUGCAUAUUAUUAAUCCAACGAUAACACCAGCUUAGCACCGAACAAAAAAAAAAUUAAUCCAAAAGCAAUACUAACCACUCAUCGUGAUUUAUCGAAAAAUAAAUAUAUUUUCGCACUUUGUCCCUCUCAGCUAAAUUGAUCCUGAUCGUUGUCUGCCUGACAGUGGCGGUCAUCAUUUUGAUAAUCAUUUUGGUAACUAAUUUGAGCUGAUCUCGUGGAUGGCCAUCGACUCGAUCCGAGACCAGUGACACAAGUGCACCUUUCCUGAGCACAAAUUCAUUCAUCUCCCGAUUUCAGUUCGUCCUUGACAUCAUCCCAGAGGCUCCACAAUUAUUAUUAUUAAUCACCAAAAAAAAAAACACUCUCCUGGACGUGUUCAAUGAGAUAUUCGAAAAAUCCAUUCCACGUCUUACGUUCUCCCCCAACAAAAAAAUCAGCGAUCGUCGUUAUAUUUUAAACAAAAUUUUCUUCUUGUAAAUAAUGUUCUGCAUUAUGUCCAAUAAUGAAAAAUGUCAAAAAAAAAAAUUCGCAUCCCAAUCGAGAAAAUGUCUCUCUCAAAUGCUACUAGAGAAAAAAGAAAUCAAUUUUUCCUAAAAUUCUUAAAAAUAUUCAAUGUUUCUGUUUGUAAAUUAAUUAAAUUAAUUAAAUUAAUUAUUAAAUUAAU
Leptopilina heterotoma is the source of this 2502-nucleotide RNA transcript. It is a transcript of the gene named syntaxin-1A, with no coding region annotated. The record is from RefSeq and is a predicted model, not a curated record. Lineage: Eukaryota; Metazoa; Arthropoda; Insecta; Hymenoptera; Figitidae. The transcript is spliced from 11 exons.